Molecule: ribosomal RNA, 253 nt
Filed under: uncultured bacterium
Lineage: Bacteria
Description: partial 16S ribosomal RNA
Rfam family: Bacterial small subunit ribosomal RNA
Source: RNAcentral
UACGUAGGGCGCAAGCGUUGUCCGGAAUUAUUGGGCGUAAAGAGCUCGUAGGCGGCUUGUCACGUCGAUUGUGAAAGCCCGAGGCUUAACCUCGGGUCUGCAGUCGAUACGGGCUAGCUAGAGUGUGGUAGGGGAGAUCGGAAUUCCUGGUGUAGCGGUGAAAUGCGCAGAUAUCAGGAGGAACACCGGUGGCGAAGGCGGAUCUCUGGACAGUUCCUGACGCUGAGGCACGAAGGUCAGGGGAGCAAACGGG